CCUACGGGUGGCAGCAGUGGGGAAUAUUGGACAAUGGGGGCAACCCUGAUCCAGCCAUGCCGCGUGUGUGAAGAAGGCCCUCGGGUUGUAAAGCACUUUCAGUGAGGAAGAACGCCUGGUGGUUAAUACCCAUCAGGAAAGACAUCACUCACAGAAGAAGCACCGGCUAACUCCGUGCCAGCAGCCGCGGUAAUACGGAGGGUGCGAGCGUUAAUCGGAAUUACUGGGCGUAAAGCGCGCGUAGGUGGCUUGAUAAGCCGGUUGUGAAAGCCCCGGGCUCAACCUGGGAACGGCAUCCGGAACUGUCAAGCUAGAGUGCAGGAGAGGAAGGUAGAAUUCCCGGUGUAGCGGUGAAAUGCGUAGCGAUCGGGAGGAAUACCAGUGGCGAAGGCGGCCUUCUGGACUGACACUGACACUGAGGUGCGAAAGCGUGGGUAGCAAACAGGAUUAGAUACCCGAGUAGUC
Molecule: ribosomal RNA, 465 nt
Filed under: Vreelandella stevensii
Lineage: Bacteria; Pseudomonadati; Pseudomonadota; Gammaproteobacteria; Oceanospirillales; Halomonadaceae
Description: partial 16S ribosomal RNA
Rfam family: Bacterial small subunit ribosomal RNA
Source: RNAcentral